RNAcentral lists this ribosomal RNA (236 nucleotides) under uncultured bacterium. RNAcentral's name for it is "partial 16S ribosomal RNA". It matches the Rfam family "Bacterial small subunit ribosomal RNA", at positions 118 to 347 of the family's 1533-position model. The record is from RNAcentral.
UGAGGAACAUGACCUUCGGCGGGGGAUAGCCGGCCCAACGGCCGGGUAAUACCGCGUACGACCACUCGGGGACAUCCCUGAGUGGUGAAAGCAGCAAUGCGCCGAUGGAGUGCCUCGCGGCCUAUCAGCUAGUUGGUAAGGUAACGGCUCACCAAGGCGACGACGGGUAGCUGGUCUGAGAGGAUGGCCAGCCACAUUGGGACUGAGACACGGCCCAGACUCCGUACGGGGAGCAG